GCCUUGGUAGCUUAAAUUAAAGCACUGGUCUUGUAAACCAGAGACUGUAGCCUAAACCCUACCCUAGGCU
RNAcentral lists this transfer RNA (70 nucleotides) under Rana hanluica. RNAcentral describes it as "tRNA-Thr". It matches the Rfam family "tRNA". From Rfam's summary of the family: Transfer RNA (tRNA) molecules are approximately 80 nucleotides in length. Their secondary structure includes four short double-helical elements and three loops (D, anti-codon, and T loops). Lineage: Eukaryota; Metazoa; Chordata; Amphibia; Anura; Ranidae. The record is from RNAcentral.